RNAcentral lists this ribosomal RNA (301 nucleotides) under uncultured bacterium. Its description in RNAcentral is "partial 16S ribosomal RNA". It matches the Rfam family "Bacterial small subunit ribosomal RNA", at positions 509 to 807 of the family's 1533-position model. The record is from RNAcentral.
CAGCAGCCGCGGGAAUACGGAGGGAGCUAGCGUUGUUCGGAAUUACUGGGCGUAAAGCGCACGUAGGCGGCUUUGUAAGUUAGAGGUGAAAGCCUGGAGCUCAACUCCAGAAUUGCCUUUAAGACUGCAUCGCUUGAAUCCAGGAGAGGUGAGUGGAAUUCCGAGUGUAGAGGUGAAAUUCGUAGAUAUUCGGAAGAACACCAGUGGCGAAGGCGGCUCACUGGACUGGUAUUGACGCUGAGGUGCGAAAGCGUGGGGAGCAAACAGGAUUAGAUACCCCAGUAGUCCCUGUCUCUUAUAC